RNAcentral lists this ribosomal RNA (370 nucleotides) under uncultured fungus. RNAcentral's name for it is "eukaryotic LSU rRNA". The stretch from base 199 to 370 matches the Rfam family "Eukaryotic large subunit ribosomal RNA", at positions 1 to 170 of the family's 3401-position model. The record is from RNAcentral. Lineage: Eukaryota; Fungi.
CCCCUUUUGCGAGGGGCGUCGGUGGCUGGAUCUGGGAGGCUUUUGCCGGAAAAGGGUUUCGACCCACUUCUCGGCUCCUCUCGAAGGCAUUAGUAGGACCCUUUGCGGCCUCGGUGUGAUAAUUGUCUACGCCGUGGGUUUAGCAUGUCAUGGGACCCGCUUCCAACCGUCUCGCAAGGGACACUUUCAAUCGAAACUUGACCUCAGAUCAGGCGGGACUACCCGCUGAACUUAAGCAUAUCAAUAAGCGGAGGAAAAGAAACUAACAAGGAUUCCCCUAGUAACUGCGAGUGAAGCGGGAAAAGCUCAAAUUUGUAAUCUGGCGGCCUUCGGUCGUCCGAGUUGUAAUCUAGAGAAGCGUCUUCCGCGC